UUUAAAUACAAAAACACAAGCAGGUUCCCCUCCUCUCCUUUGCCUCUUGGUCUGGCUCUCCCUACCUUUGGGCUGGUGCCUGACCGAAUGGGAAACCCGUCGCUCGGCGGCCACUAACCUGUGAGCGCCGGUACCUGGAGACCAGGCCCCUCUGCCGGGGCCCCAGGAGCCGUGCCCCAUCCUUGUGCAGCCCACAGACUCCAGCCUGGUGUGAAAACUGAGGUCCAGAGAGGUGAUGUGAUUUGCCUAAAGUCAUGCAACUAGUGGCAGAGCCAGGCCUAGAAGCCAGGUGUCCUGGCUCUCAAGAUAUUCCGCUGCCCGAGGAAUGGAACAGGAGGAAGGGUCAAUGUGGUGCCAGUUACUUCAUCUUGGUUGAAGUCCUUGAUGCUCAUCAAACAUUGAAUGAAGGAAUGAAUUGAAUGAACAAAUACAUUGUAGACACAGAGUUUUCUGUUGUAUUGUUAUAAUCCUUUACUAUCAU
Molecule: long non-coding RNA, 481 nt
Organism: Sciurus carolinensis (gray squirrel)
Lineage: Eukaryota; Metazoa; Chordata; Mammalia; Rodentia; Sciuridae
Exons: 3
Source: RefSeq, a predicted model, not a curated record